This 253-nucleotide ribosomal RNA is filed under the name uncultured bacterium. Its description in RNAcentral is "partial 16S ribosomal RNA". It matches the Rfam family "Bacterial small subunit ribosomal RNA", at positions 524 to 776 of the family's 1533-position model. The record is from RNAcentral.
UACGAAGGGGGCUAGCGUUGUUCGGAUUUACUGGGCGUAAAGCGCACGUAGGCGGAUCGAUCAGUCAGGGGUGAAAUCCCAGAGCUCAACUCUGGAACUGCCUUUGAUACUGUCGAUCUGGAGUAUGGAAGAGGUGAGUGGAAUUCCGAGUGUAGAGGUGAAAUUCGUAGAUAUUGGGAGGAACACCAGUGGCGAAGGCGGCUCACUGGACUGGUACUGACGCUCAGGCGCGACAGCGUGGGGAGCAAACAGG